AGAUUGAACGCUAGCGGGAUGCUUUACACAUGCAAGUCGAACGGCAGCGCGGACUUCGGUCUGGCGGCGAGUGGCGAACGGGUGAGUAAUAUAUCGGAACGUGCCCAGUAGCGGGGGAUAACUACGCGAAAGCGUGGCUAAUACCGCAUACGCCCUACGGGGGAAAGGGGGGAUUCCUCGGAACCUCUCACUAUUGGAGCGGGCCGUAGUACUACGAG
Molecule: ribosomal RNA, 218 nt
Filed under: uncultured soil bacterium
Lineage: Bacteria
Description: partial 16S ribosomal RNA
Rfam family: Bacterial small subunit ribosomal RNA
Source: RNAcentral